GACGAACGCUGGCGGCGUGCUUAACACAUGCAAGUCGAGCGGAAAGGCCCUUCGGGGUACUCGAGCGGCGAACGGGUGAGUAACACGUGAGCAACCUGCCCUAGGCUUUGGGAUAACCCCGGGAAACCGGGCUAAUACCGGAUAGGACCUGGCGUCGCAUGGCGCUUGGUGGAAAGUUUUCGGCCUGGGAUGGGCUCGCGGCCUAUCAGCUUGUUGGUGGGGUGAUGGCCUACCAAGGCGACGACGGGUAGCCGGCCUGAGAGGGCGACCGGCCACACUGGGACUGAGACACGGCCCAGACUCCUACGGGAGCAGCAGUGGGGAAUAUUGCACAAUGGCCGAAGCCUGAUGCAGCGACGCCGCGUGAGGGAUGACGGCCUUCGGGUUGUAAACCUCUUUCAGCAGGGACGAAGCGCAAGUGACGGUACCUGCAGAAGAAGCGCCGGCCAAC
This 451-nucleotide ribosomal RNA is filed under the name uncultured bacterium. RNAcentral describes it as "bacterial SSU rRNA". It matches the Rfam family "Bacterial small subunit ribosomal RNA", at positions 28 to 501 of the family's 1533-position model. The record is from RNAcentral.